Mustela putorius furo (domestic ferret) is the source of this 97-nucleotide small nuclear RNA. Lineage: Eukaryota; Metazoa; Chordata; Mammalia; Carnivora; Mustelidae. The record is from Ensembl.
GUGCUCACUUUGGCAGCACUUAUAUUGAAAUGAUACAAAGAAGAUUAGCAUGGCCCCUGAGGAUGACAGGCAAAUUCAUGAAGUAUUCCAUCAUUAA